GGAUGUGAGGGCGAUCUGGCUGAGACAUCUGUCACCCCAUUGAUGGCCAGGGUUGACUCCGCUGAUCUGGCUGGCUAGACGGUUGUCCCCUUCCUCCCUCACUGCUCCAUGCGCAUCCUCCAGAGGUUGCACGCUCAGUCGAAGAGGACGACCACCCCCAGUAGAGGAGGACCAUUACCUCGGUGUGCUCCCCUGCUAGCACCUCCAAACGAGCUCUCAAAACCCCUCAAGCCAGAAGUAAAGCACAGGUAAUUAGGCUCCAGUGUCUAAAUUCUAAUUACUACACAAAAUAUGUGUUGCAUUUUUUG
This is an unclassified non-coding RNA of Fukomys damarensis (Damara mole-rat), 308 nucleotides long. Its record names the gene 7SK. It matches the Rfam family "7SK RNA". Rfam says of the family: 7SK was discovered as an abundant small nuclear RNA in the mid-70s but a possible function has only recently been suggested. Two independent studies have found that 7SK RNA binds the CDK9/cyclin T complex (known as elongation factor P-TEFb). P-TEFb activates transcription by phosphorylating the C-terminal domain of RNA polymerase II. The record is from Ensembl. Lineage: Eukaryota; Metazoa; Chordata; Mammalia; Rodentia; Bathyergidae.